RNAcentral lists this ribosomal RNA (229 nucleotides) under uncultured bacterium. RNAcentral's name for it is "partial 16S ribosomal RNA". It matches the Rfam family "Bacterial small subunit ribosomal RNA", at positions 568 to 796 of the family's 1533-position model. The record is from RNAcentral.
UGCGUAGGCGGGAUAUUAAGUCAGUGGUGAAAGCCCCGAGCUCAACUUGGGAACUGCCAUUGAAACUGAUAUUCUUGAAUAUAGUUGAGGUAGGCGGAGUACAACAUGUAGCGGUGAAAUGCAUAGAUAUGUUGUAGAACACCAAUUGCGAAGGCAGCUUACUAGACUAUUAUUGACGCUGAGGCACGAAAGCGUGGGGAGCGAACAGGAUUAGAUACCCUGGCAGUCC